Molecule: long non-coding RNA, 398 nt
Organism: Saccostrea echinata
Lineage: Eukaryota; Metazoa; Mollusca; Bivalvia; Ostreida; Ostreidae
Exons: 3
Source: RefSeq, a predicted model, not a curated record
AUGCACUGCAGUGCAGAAACAGGUACAGUGAAAUCAAUUAUGCAGGUUCUUGAAGGAAAAAAAUCAUGGAUGACAACAAUGUAUGAUUUACCAGACCAAGGGAUACCAAUGUUUUUUGAUGGUACUUGCUCCAUCUACUCAGCUUACUGUGAGAGAGUUAACACCUUAUUGACAGAUCUUUCAAGAAGAAGAAACGCUUGAGAAGGGUUCAAUAGUUUAAUUUUAUAGAUGGCAAGUAUUGCUUAGACCUAAAGUAUUCUUUAAUUGUGAAGAAAACAAACAUAAGGGUGUUUGGCAAUUCAUAACUAUUAACUGUGAUUGCAUUGUGUAUUUUUAAAAUCAUUCUUUGGUAUGCUUCAAACUCCAAAGUAUUUAUGAAAACAUUGACUAUAUUUAUC